Molecule: non-coding RNA, 29 nt
Filed under: Rattus norvegicus (Norway rat)
Lineage: Eukaryota; Metazoa; Chordata; Mammalia; Rodentia; Muridae
Source: RNAcentral
UCUGCUGACAGUCUGCCUGAUGUGGAACC